RNAcentral lists this ribosomal RNA (411 nucleotides) under Triticum aestivum (bread wheat). Its description in RNAcentral is "partial small subunit ribosomal RNA". The record is from RNAcentral. Lineage: Eukaryota; Viridiplantae; Streptophyta; Magnoliopsida; Poales; Poaceae.
AUGGCAAGGUAUUGUUGGAGUAGUUCAGUUGACCGUAGAUCUCUGCACUGGAUCGAUUGGGACUCACUAACCAAGCCAAAGAUUGCAGGAGGGAUGGGGUUCAGAAACUUGGAAAUGUUCAACUUAGCUCUGCUUGGGAAACACGGGUGGAUGCUGAUCACGAAUCCGAAUCUCUCUGCUCGUGUCUUGAAAGGAAAGUAUUUUCCCGUUGGUGACUUCAUGGAUGCAACAAUCCCGAAGCAUGCAUCAGCCACUUGGAGAGCAAUAGUGGCGGGAAGAGAAGCCUUACGGAUGGGAUUACUAAAGAGAAUUGGAGAUGGUAUGAGUGUAUCAACAUGGAAUGAUAGCUGGUUCCGGGCCUUCUCACUCUUCGGCCUUUGGUGCAAAUCGGAGAUGCCGCUAUCCCUCUAG